Molecule: ribosomal RNA, 496 nt
Filed under: uncultured bacterium
Lineage: Bacteria
Description: partial 16S ribosomal RNA
Rfam family: Bacterial small subunit ribosomal RNA
Source: RNAcentral
GAUGAACGCUGGCGGCGUGCCUAAUACAUGCAAGUCGAGCGAACAGACGAGGAGCUUGCUCCUCUGACGUUAGCGGCGGACGGGUGAGUAACACGUGGAUAACCUACCUAUAAGACUGGGAUAACUUCGGGAAACCGGAGCUAAUACCGGAUAAUAUAUUGAACCGCAUGGUUCAAUAGUGAAAGACGGUUUUGCUGUCACUUAUAGAUGGAUCCGCGCCGCAUUAGCUAGUUGGUAAGGUAACGGCUUACCAAGGCGACGAUGCGUAGCCGACCUGAGAGGGUGAUCGGCCACACUGGAACUGAGACACGGUCCAGACUCCUACGGGAGGCAGCAGUAGGGAAUCUUCCGCAAUGGGCGAAAGCCUGACGGAGCAACGCCGCGUGAGUGAUGAAGGUCUUCGGAUCGUAAAACUCUGUUAUUAGGGAAGAACAAAUGUGUAAGUAACUAUGCACGUCUAGACGGUACCUAAUCAGAAAGCCACGACUAACUACGU